ACGGAGGGCGCAAGCGUUGUUCGGAAUUACUGGGCGUAAAGCGCGGGCAGGUGGCCCGUUAAGUCUGCGGUGAAAUCCCCGGGCUUAACCUGGGAAUUGCGCUUGAAACUAGCGGGCUUGAGUGCGGCAGAGGGGGGUGGAAUUCCACGUGUAGCAGUGAAAUGCGUAGAGAUGUGGAGGAACACCGAUGGCGAAGGCAGCCCCCUGGGUCGACACUGACGCUCAUGCACGAAAGCGUGGGGAGCAAACAGGA
RNAcentral lists this ribosomal RNA (253 nucleotides) under uncultured prokaryote. Its description in RNAcentral is "partial 16S ribosomal RNA". It matches the Rfam family "Bacterial small subunit ribosomal RNA", at positions 525 to 777 of the family's 1533-position model. The record is from RNAcentral.